RNAcentral lists this ribosomal RNA (253 nucleotides) under uncultured bacterium. RNAcentral describes it as "partial 16S ribosomal RNA". It matches the Rfam family "Bacterial small subunit ribosomal RNA", at positions 524 to 776 of the family's 1533-position model. The record is from RNAcentral.
GACAGAGGGUGCAAACGUUGUCCGGAUUUAUUGGGCGUAAAGAGCUCGUAGGCGGUUUGUCGCGUCUGCCGUGAAAGUCCGGGGCUCAACUCCGGAUCUGCGGUGGGUACGGGCAGACUAGAGUGAUGUAGGGGAGACUGGAAUUCCUGGUGUAGCGGUGAAAUGCGCAGAUAUCAGGAGGAACACCGAUGGCGAAGGCAGGUCUCUGGGCAUUAACUGACGCUGAGGAGCGAAAGCAUGGGGAGCGAACAGG